CCUACGGGUGGCAGCAGUAAGGAAUAUUGGUCAAUGGACGCAAGUCUGAACCAGCCAUGCCGCGUGGAGGAUGAAGGUCCUCUGGAUUGUAAACUUCUUUUAUUUGGGAAGAAACUCCCGAUUUCCAUCGGGAUUGACGGUACCAGAUGAAUAAGCACCGGCUAACUCCGUGCCAGCAGCCGCGGUACUACGGAGGGUGCAGGCGUAACUCGGAUUCACUGGGGUGUAGGUGUGCGUGGGUGGCAGUGGUGAAAUCUCCGGGCUUAACCCGGAAACUGCCAUUGAUACUAUUUGUCUUGAAUACUCUGGAGGUGAGCGGAAUAUGUCAUGUAGCGGUGAAAUGCUUAGAUAUGACAUAGAACACCCAUUGCGAAGGCAGCUCACUACGGAAAUAUUGACGCUGAGGCACGAAAGCGUGGGGAUCAAGCAGGAUUAGAUACCCCAGUAGUC
Molecule: ribosomal RNA, 450 nt
Filed under: uncultured bacterium
Lineage: Bacteria
Description: partial 16S ribosomal RNA
Rfam family: Bacterial small subunit ribosomal RNA
Source: RNAcentral